RNAcentral lists this long non-coding RNA (2077 nucleotides) under Selaginella moellendorffii. RNAcentral describes it as "long non-coding RNA (SMOE_LNC001959)". The record is from RNAcentral. Lineage: Eukaryota; Viridiplantae; Streptophyta; Lycopodiopsida; Selaginellales; Selaginellaceae.
CUAGUUGUGCCCACCAGGGUCAUAGGCGCCAUUGCGAGUCAUAGUGGGGUUGUGGGCAAGGAUUGCCAAGGUACAACUAGGAGUUGAAUUUGCAGAAGAAGAUUUGCAGAACCCUAAAACGUGGUUUAGCCUUUAACCCACAUUAGACUGUAUCCGUACUUGUGUGAGGUGGAUUGUCAGAGUCUCAUCAUGAGACUCCAGUUGCUGGGCACUUUGGCAUUAUGAAAACAGUGGAAUUGGUCGGUGGCCUCAUCUUUGUCAGUCUAUGGAAGAGUUUAUCCACACCUGCGACAUUUGCGCCUGGUCCGAGUUUCCUCAACACCAUCUGUAUGGUCUUCUUCAACCACUUCCAGCUCCAACUAUGCCCUGGUCUUGCAUCUCAAUGGACUUUGUGACUGAUCUUCCACCAGUUCAAGGAGUUGUUGGUACUCCAAAUCUAAUGUUGAACUAUGAAUUUGCCAGAUCUUCAAAGUUACAUCAUUGGCUGAAAGAGGUACGCAUGUGAACAGAGCAAAAUUCAAUUGACCUCCUUACCUUGGUCUAGCUUGGAAGGAACAACAUAUAUGCCCAGCAAUUUUAGCACAUGGAUUUGCUUAAGGCAACGAUUGGGGACAAUCGUGGCAGCGAACCAAAGUAGCCGCUGAAGCAAGUCACAGUACCUGUCACUGAAGCGAGUUGUACCUGUCAAUCAUAUCCAUGAGUAUAUAGGCCGAAUUAGGUCAACAAACCUUAUGGUCCUGGGCCGCGACUUGGUCCCGAUGGCGGCGACAAUGGAGGUGGGGAGCUGGUUCAAUACCCCUGCUAUGUCCAACAAGGAUAGAGUGUGGAUUCGUGAGUGCUAUAGCGACGUCUACACCGACAUCAGGGAGCUCGCGAGCGUGGGCAAGCGCUACAUCCACAUCUCGGGGGACCCCGGAAUCGGCAAGUCGUGUUUUCUGUGGUACGUUCUCAGGAGGCUCCUCGACGAUGGAGAGACGGCCGUCAUAGUAGAGCUCCUCGUAGGAAUCACCGUGAAUACUUUCGUCUUCAAGCAGGAUGGGAGUUGCGACGCGGAAGAUUCACCGGAUUACAACCGCCCGGGGGUCUGGCUUCUUACUGAUGAGGCAUUUGUUGGGCACAGGGUUUGGAACGGAACCACGGUCUUGUUCGCGUCACCCGAGAAAGAUAAGUGGAUACAAGCAGAAAAGACUAUGCAGGAACGCAAGUUCACGACGCUUUACAUGCCGCCUUGGUCUGUCGACGAGUUGCAGGCCGUCUAUUUUUCAGAUCCCGAGAAUGAAGGCGAAUACAUGGAGUUCUGGGCGAAGUAUUACGUUGCCGGGCCAAUCAUAAGGCACUACGUCACGCCUUUGAUAAAGGUCCUCAGCGAGAAACUCACGGCCGUCGAGAAAGUUGUGGAUGGCGGGGUGCUGAACGCGACAUUAUUGAAGGCACACGAGAUCUUCGUUUCCUGGCCAACUCUCGACUUCACCCGCGUGGACCAUUUCUCCUUUGCUUCGGAGUGGGCAGCGGAUUGUUUUGCAAUCGCAUGCUUCAAUGGUCAGAUCAAGAACUGGAUCGCGUCCACUUUAUUUUUGGCAGCGAACCGUUCAUUGCGGAGUGCAGCUGGAGUUCUGUUCGAACGUGUUGCUCAUUAUCGACUCUCGAUGGGUGGUGACUUUUGUAGCAUUGACGAUCCGACCAGAAAGCUUCAUUUGGAGAAGCAGGAAGUGAAGUAUUUCUCCGGUAACAGUCUUGAUCUGCAAAUACCUGGCCUCUACUACUUACAACCCAGCAGCACGUCAUUCCCUGUGAUAGACUCAGUGUAUCCUCCACUCGUCCUUUUCCAGAUCUCUAUUGCCACGAAGCAGAGACCAAUGAAGAAGUGUGACUACGAUGCCUUGUGCUCUUCUUUGAUGGCAUUCAGAAACGAGCACUCUGAUAUUCCGUCGGGCCUGGAAGGUGUGCCGGAGCCGAACCGAGUGCACGCUAUUCUAGUGAAGAUGGAGGGUGACAAUGCAAAGCAUUCGCAACGCCUGUGCAUGGUGGAAGACGCUCCGGAAGACGCUCCAGCGAAUGAAACGGCUCCUCGCCGGUC